Molecule: non-coding RNA, 30 nt
Filed under: Rattus norvegicus (Norway rat)
Lineage: Eukaryota; Metazoa; Chordata; Mammalia; Rodentia; Muridae
Source: RNAcentral
UAUAGAAAAGAAUGAAAGAUUUGCCCACAG